RNAcentral lists this long non-coding RNA (1419 nucleotides) under Polistes fuscatus (common paper wasp). Its description in RNAcentral is "uncharacterized LOC122517002". The record is from RNAcentral. Lineage: Eukaryota; Metazoa; Arthropoda; Insecta; Hymenoptera; Vespidae.
UAGGAUAAUUAUUUUAACAAUGAUUAUUUUUGUUAUUCAUUGAAUUACCUUAUAUAUAUCAUUGAUCAAAUAGCGAGAUCAUUGGUAAAUCGAUAGGUUGAAAAAAUUUAGUUGCUCGCGUGGUAAACCGCAAAACGGUGCUGUAAAUCGUCCCACACGAUCUCUAUCAGAUUUCCACUCGCUUAACAUUUAUUUUUUCUAUUUUCUUUUUUUUUUUCAUUCUAUCAACCACGAGCUUGCUUGCGUAGCACUCUCGACGAAUUAAAAAGAGAAGCAGGAGGCGGAGGAAAGAGAAAGAGAGAGAUAAACAAGUGGUCGUUUUACGUACGUUGUCGGGUCCUCUCAAUGCCAUCGCCAUUAGUUUAGAUGGUUUUUUUUAUUCGAUAUAGUCUAUAUUAGGGGUAAGGGAAGCAAGAGGAUCGGUCGUUCAUCGCGAAAGAGGGCUAGAAGAGGAAAGAGGGAAGAAGAGAGAGUUAGAGAGAAAAAGAGAGCGAAAGAGAGAGAGGACAUCCUCAUUCCGGAACACGAUCGAGAUCAGCAUCGAGCCGACUAAUAAAGAGGAUGAGGAGAAGGUGGAGGAAGAGGAGGAGGAGGAGGUGGUGGCGGAGGAGGUGAACUCGUUGAGCAACAAAUUAGUUGUACCAGGAGGUAACGCGGGGAUUACGCAAUAAUUCGUCGUCGUGGUACUGCUAGCCGAUAAGUAGGCCGGACACGGAGAAAUGGUGGAACGGAGAUGACCUUGAGAUGGGAACGGAUGCGCUGCGGAAGUUGGGGACUCCCUAGGGAUGAACGAGUAAAGAAAUUGCCUCGAUAUCGAAUCAUUUUAGCGAUAACUUUGGAAAGUAUCGAAUUCUUCUGUUUACAGAACCGUACGGUAGGAGCUCGUAAAUUUAAUUUUUCUGAACAAAGCUUUUCGGCGUAGCCCCAUUGAAAGACGAUAAAAUGUUUACGCGAGCUUGAAACUCGGCGAAUGUUUAUCACGUUAACGUUGUUUUACCUCAAAAGUACAACCACCAAGAAGUUUUCCACGAUAAAAUUGAUAAAAGUCCUCUAACGUCCACGAUAUUUGCUCUAGUAGAAUGGAAUUUCUGGGUAACUCUGGACAAGGAUUAAUGAUCCUUCGGCGACGGGUUGCCAUCGGAGAUAAUUCUACUAAAUUUACUACUACUACUCACCCCUUCUCUUCUUUUUUUGUCCAACCAUCCUUCUGUUACAAACACUACUACCAUAAUCAACACUACCACUAGCAACGCUCAUCCUCACCCUUUACAAUGGAGAAACGAAUGGAAAAAAUGAACGAGCGCUCUCGUGAUUGACUAUUCUCUUACUCUCUGGAUCAAACCUAUCCCUUUUUUUUAUCCUCUCCACCCCGUUUCUUUCCCAUUCACGCGUAUAUUCUCUCACCCCUUUAAGCAAAAA